CAGCAGCAACUGCAACAGCAGCCUCCAUACCCCCAGCAGCUGCUAGGGCACCUUCACAAGACGCCGCUUCAGCUAGCGCCGCAAUACGGAACCGCCAGGUCCCCAUCAAAGGAGGGGGAUGUGCGCAUUGAAGGGUGGAGCAAUAGCGGUUCCUCCGGGGUGCAGCCCAAUGUCCCGGUCUCGGCAGCGCAAACCACGGAAGAGGCGAGCGGUGCCGUGACAUCCGCAGACGCUCUGGUUGCCGCUAGUCACGUGCCGCAACCCGAUGCUCUCCAUCGCAAUCCCAUCGUUAGCGUCACCGCAUCAGAGUCUCCUGCCGCCGCGGCACCGGAAAAAGAGGAAUCGUCAGAGCGCGUCCACGUUUUAGUUGUCUUCGACAAGGUGUUCUGCGUUUGCUUUGUGCCGUCGGCACUGCGCGCGACACUCAAGGUUGGCGAACUGGUUCUCUGCGAGUACACCCACGGCGAGAAUAUCGGCACGAUCGUCGCGGACGUGAGCACCCUCGUUGCCAAGGUGAUGCAGCAGCACCAAAGCACCAUGAGCUUGGCAGCAGUUGAGCAGGCCUUCACUCCGCCGUGUGAGCGCGUCGUCCGCACUGCCGGCACCCCCGUGUCCUCCGUGGUUGAGGGGCACUCGAGUGGUUUGUUUGUCGCGACCACGGCCAUGUGCACCGAAAAGGCUCACAGCGGCUUGCCGGCGGAUCAACGGCUGCGCCGUCUUCCGUGCGUCCUUCGGCGCGGCACGAACCGAGACAAGAAACGUAUGUACUUCGCGCGGCUUCGCAGCAAUGACGCACUGGCUGCUGUGCUCCGCAUUCUCCGCAGCGAGCCGUUGGUCGCGCAGUCCGCCGAGUAUCAGGUGAACUUCGCGUGCGUCACCAUCUAUCUCGGUGGUGAGCGCAGUCAGUGCGGCUGGUCGGCACAUCAGUUUCAGCAACUCGGCAACACGCUGGUCGACCCUUUGCGCUCAGAGACGGUAGAGUUCCGCUUCGUGUGCGACCAGCACCAUGAGGAACUCGACCUGACGCGCGCCAUCACUGGAUUGGGGCUGAGUGAGAUUCUGUACGCUGUCGUGGCGGACCACCACAAACGUCAAAGCGGCAAAGGCGGGCAAGGCAGCCGUGGUGGAGCCGCACACGGAGCCGCCGUCAACCGGCCGGGUCCGUUGAUUCAGCACUCGCAGCAGCAGCAGCAAGCCGGGCAGCUGUUUGGUGGUCAGUCGAGUACCGUGACGACCUACACAGGCUCUUCGAUGUGGCCUCAGUCAGCGACAGCUCUUACCCCAGGCAGCUGCGUUACUCCCGCCUCGCAGCAGCAGCAACGGCAGCAGAAACAUGCAAUGGGCUACACGCUUGCCCCCUGUAUGUACGUGCCCCAGCAGCAGCAGCAGCAGCAGCAGACGACGAAUGUGCACACCAUUACUCUCCCUAGCCACGCCGUCACGAAUACACAGCCAGCCACACAGUCUCUUUCCUUGGUGCAGGUGCACUACCCGCCCAUAAGCCAAGUGAACCCAGCACCGGGCAUAUACUGGGCAAACGUCUCGACGCCGCCUCAACCGCAGCGACUGGAGGCACCGCAGCAGCAGCAGCAGCAGCAGCUUUCUAUCGCACACAGUGGAGUGUCGGAGCCGGCUUACUACUAUGUAGUAAGCUCGUCACAGCAGCAGCAGCAGUCCGUCGCACCGCAACCCUCGUCGGCACCGCAAAGGGGACCAACGCUACUGCAGGCAAGAGCACUCGCUGCCCCUCCCCAUGUUCACCCACCAACGUUUGUCGAAGUACCUGUUAUGAACACAGAGGGCUACCAGGCAGUCUCCUACCCGUUCGUGUUGCCCUCAAGCACUACCCCUUACUCGUAGUAUGCCUAUUUACGUUUUCUCGCGCAGUGUGGUGGUGGUGGUGGUUCUUCUUUUUUUGCGUUGGCAUCCGGGGUAAGGGGGAUGCAGCACGCAAAACAGGUCAUGUCACCUCUACACCACACCCCCUCUUGAGACCGUUGGGAAAGGAAGAGGUGUGGCCGCACCGAAAAAAAAAGGGCAUGAGCUGUGUAGAUCUCUGUCGCUUUUUGGAGCAAGCACCGCCCCUCACGUGCACCCGGCACACACUGACGAAUGCGGCCCGAGUCCAGCACCCCUCCACCAGACCUCCAUGUGAUACUCCUUUUCUUGUUAUGAUCUUCCUUCAUCUAACACUUCCCUGUAGAUUCUCUGGUACUGCCUGCUUUCGCUCUUUCCGUUCGGCCACCACACCUUCCCCUUCUUCCUCCCCCUCCCUCCUCACUACUUCCACCCCUGGCUCUCUCCCUUCCUCACAAGCAAAGUACAGCGCCCCCUUUUCUUGUGUCGUCCGCCACAUCUCGCUCUUUUUUUCCGCUCUUCAAGACAGUAUGCAUGUUUUGUUAUGCAUUUGUUCCUCUCUCGUUGUGCAUGCGUGCAGUCUUCACACCACUGUUCAGCUCCCUUCCUCCCCCUCUUUGUUUCGCGUUCCUCGUGGCGCGACGCGCUUGCAUCGCGGCGGCUGGUAGCCCUCAGCGGAGAAAAAAAGAAGGUUACGCACGUACACUGUACGCGAAGCUGUGGUAGACAAGUUUUCUGAGCACCAGUAAAACAAAACGAAAAUCAUGAAAAACGAACAUUUUCGUGCUUUCCAUUUUCUGUCUCGCUCACAAAACGAAAAAGGAUACGGCUCCUGCGAAGAGAGGCUGAGCGCGAUGCAUUUUGCCGUGGAGUAGCAGUGAAUGGUGGUGCGGCAGAAGCUACGUUGAGGGUGUCGAACAAACAAAGACUGUCGUUCGCGCAUCUUUUUUAUCACCGUUGUUGUCUAUCUCUCUUGUUUGUUUUCGAUGCUCUCGUGAUGAUCUUUGCUCACACCCCAUGUAUGCGUGUCCUUGUCGACGUGUUCGUGGUAGGACAGGCACGGUGAGGAAAAUAAGCAAACAACAACAAAAAGGAACCUCUGCAUGUGUUCUUCCGUAUUUCUUGUGUUUUUUGUACGUGUCUGUGCGUAUGAUUAGAUUUACGUUUGUUUGCUUGCUUGCUUGUUUGUUUUUGCUUUACUUCUCUCUCUCUCUGUUUGCUCUUUUUUUUUAUUUUUCGAUUUCUUGUGUGCGUGUGUGUCUCACUCUUUACCUUUCACCUUUGUUCGUGCUGGUGUGUCUGUGCGUUUUUUUUUUGCGGUUUUGGUCUCUUCUCUCUAGUCCCUCUCUCUAUAUAUGUUUCUCAUUCAGUGUGUGUGUGUGUGUACUUCUCCUUUUUUUUGUCCUGUGUUCUUCUGAUUCCACCGGCACUUUAUGGUUUUUGCUACUGGCAUGGUCUCUGCGCAUGGCAGCAGGGUCGGGAAAAGACAAGGGGUUGUUGGUGUGUCGUCAUCACCGCACCCGUGUUUUCUGUCUGUUGAUUGUUGUUGUGCUUUCCGCACUCCCCUUUUCCUUCUUUGACAGUGCGAUGGUGUUGUCGGUGUUUUUUUUUCCAAUGAACACGUCGAUGUGUGCAUGUAGAUAUGUGGGUGUGUGAGCUGCCCUUUUUUUUUGCACUCUGAAUUAUCGCUUCCGCUUAAAAACCCCGCCUUUGGGACUUUGUUGUUGUGGACAUCGAUGUUCUCUUUCCUUUAUCUCUUUUUCCUUUUUCUCACUCUCUGCCAUCCUUCUCCGAUACUUCGCUGCCUCUGUCUCUGCCUCUUCCCGGCCACCCACCUUCUCCUGAGUGGGAGAAACCUAGGGGACGCAGAGAAAGCGAGGGACAUCACGCUGCGCCGCUGCCAAAGGGAGAAGAAGCAAAAAAAAAAGAGGUAAGAAAGUGCCAAAGACGAGAGAACUGAGCUGAUUGAGGUGUACACCAGAAGACGUUCCCGCUUCAGCAGACUCAGUGAGAAAAAAAAAGGUUGAUGACUGGGUUACCGGUGCACAAAACACAAAGAGAGAAGCCGAACAAGCGAGGGAGUGAAAACAAAAAGAGUUGUACCGUCACGCAGCAUGUCGGCACCAGGAAACACGGGAGAAGAUAGCAUCUGCGUGCCCAUUCGUGUGUGUGGGUGUGUGGGUGUUUGCGCUCGUUCCUCGAUGGUUCUCCGCUCCUCCACCUUUGGCACUCGUCCGUCUGAGAGUGAGCCGCCAGAUUUGUCCUCCACGCACGAGCAGUACCAGCAAGAACGAGAGCAUCAAGAGCUGACGCAGAGGAGGCGAAAAUGAGAGGCGUGAGUGGUGGACUUGGCAGCCUUCAUCACACGUCGUGAGUGCGGGGCUAGUCUCCGUCAAAGCAAACGACGACCUCUCGCUGUCGUAUUUCGUAUUUGCAUGAUGCCCUCCUCACCUCCCUUCAUUCAGUGCACUGGAGCGUUCCUCGAUACCCGGCUUGAUCGGGUUUUUUUCUAUGGUCGACCCCUCCUCCCUCUGCGACGUGCGUCGCAGGUAUUUCCCGUAAGCAGUCCUUAUUGCUUCUCAGCGCCUCUUACCAUUACUCUUCUUCUUUUUUCGCUGUUAAUCCUAUCGGUUUCCCUUCAAGUGAUGGUUUACUCCUUGCAAUAUGCUCUUGUUUGUUUUCCACGCUUGUUCUCCCGCCAUGUCCGCUUUUGGACUCAUCAAAAAAAAAUGUUCCAAUCAAGAGAGACGAUUCAAGGCAUCAACCACCUACCUCUCUCUUCUUGCGUUUGCUUGUUUUCUUUGUUUACUUUUAUCUCUCCCUUUUUUUUUCAUGUAUCCCUCGACUCUACUUUUUUUUGUGUGCGGCCAUCCGGGUGGAGACGCCAGAUUACUUUUUCGGUGUUUUUGUGCGUAUGUGGCGCGUGCGCGUUACGUGUCUUUCAUUCACGCCACCUCCGUUGCUUUGUUGCCCCUCCUCUCCCCGCUCCUUCUUCCCUUCACAAUUCCCCCCCCCUCCCCUUUGCAGCGCGUGUGACGCCACCGUAGAGAUCACAAGCUGCUGUAUUCUCGUCCUUGCUGCACCCACCCACCCCCACCCCACACCGAAAAAAAAAGGAAGAGGAGAGUCACUAAAAGAAAAACUGGGCAGGGGCCUUUGUGCCCUCUUUCUUUCCCCUCUUUUCCUGUUCACUGCCUACCGCGUCCUUCUCUCCGUCUUUACGCUCCCUUCUCCUUUACAUGUGACUCGAUUCUUUUUUUUUUGCUUUUCGCUGGUAUUUGUGAGCCUGUGCGUAGGAGGAAGGGCGAAUAACUUCGACUCAUCUCCUUCCUCAGUCGUGAGCGUGGUCACGAGGCAGUGUUGUGUGCGGGGGACGAGGUAAAAGGAAGGCGCUCCUCACCUCCUUCAGAGAGCGACCCGAAACUUCCAACACCAAAAAAAAAUAUAUAUUGCGCAGAACAAGAAGAAGGCAACAAAGCACAAGCCACAAAAAAGGUUCAUGGGGGCCCGCAAGCGCCUUUUAUUCUUCUCCCUUUUGGUUUUUCUUCCUCUUUUACGGAAGACAGAAAUGGAAGCUGCAGACAGCGAGUCGCCCAUGCAGCCGUGUCGUGCUGAAACAGCCCCCAAGAACUCUCCCACCACCUCUUCCGAAAAAAGAAGGCGAGAGCGCACGGUGCGCAGGCGCUGCCAUGCACAGCUGGCAUGGGUGUGCCGCAUCCAUGCAAGGCGUGCGGUUGUCCGAUGCGCAAGAGUGAUGGGCGAAAAAGGGCGCGAAGGGCACCAUACGAAUCGGCGCCAGGGCGCAUGUGUGCGCAGAGCAUGCGGCGUCUCCUGCGUCCGACGCAGUGGGCUGAUAUGAGGGCACGGGUGCCGGAAGCAUGGCAUACGGCCGGGUUGCAGAGGCUCUGAAGGGCUCUCACCGGAGGCUGGCCGGCUUGUUCCUCGAGCUCAUUCGGCACGCGCCUGGCCCACCACCACCACCACCACCUCUGCUACCCCGCAGGGCGGCUCGUUCUCGGCGACCAGGAGAUGUCGCCGCCGUGCGGCCAGAGGGUUUGGGCGCUGUGGUUGCGGAGGCGUGUACGCGCUGUUGCAGACGUGUUCGUGGUGAGAUGGACACGUCCAAGAUCAAAAAUGCCGAAAGGCGGCUGAGGUGGCCCUCGCUUUUGUUUCUGUUUUACUCUUGUUCUCUUUCCUCUCCCUCUUUCUUUUUCUUUUUCUUGCUGUCUCGCUUCUUCCGAACUGGAG
This 6105-nucleotide unclassified non-coding RNA is filed under the name Leishmania donovani. RNAcentral describes it as "gene:LdHU3.36.7600(CDS-product:hypothetical_prote in_conserved)". The record is from RNAcentral. Lineage: Eukaryota; Euglenozoa; Kinetoplastea; Trypanosomatida; Trypanosomatidae.